Molecule: ribosomal RNA, 468 nt
Filed under: uncultured bacterium
Lineage: Bacteria
Description: partial 16S ribosomal RNA
Rfam family: Bacterial small subunit ribosomal RNA
Source: RNAcentral
GACGAACGCUGGCGGCGUGCUUAACACAUGCAAGUCGAACGGAAAGGCCCUGCUUUUGUGGGGUGCUCGAGUGGCGAACGGGUGAGUAACACGUGAGUAACCUGCCCUUGACUUUGGGAUAACUUCAGGAAACUGGGGCUAAUACCGGAUAGGAGCUCCUGCUGCAUGGUGGGGGUUGGAAAGUUUCGGCGGUUGGGGAUGGACUCGCGGCUUAUCAGCUUGUUGGGGGGGUAGUGGCUUACCAAGGCUUUGACGGGUAGACGGCCUGAGAGGGUGACCGGCCACAUUGGGACUGAGAUACGGCCCAGACUCCUACGGGAGGCAGCAGUGGGGAAUAUUGCACAAUGGGCGGAAGCCUGAUGCAGCAACGCCGCGUGCGGGAUGACGGCCUUCGGGUUGUAAACCGCUUUCGCCUGUGACGAAGCGUGAGUGACGGUAAUGGGUAAAGAAGCACCGGCUAACUACGUG